GCCAACUUAGCUCAGCUGGUAGAGCAAUGGUUUUGUAAACCAUCGGUCCGGGGUUCGAGUCCCCGAGUUGGCUCCA
Molecule: transfer RNA, 76 nt
Filed under: Candidatus Magasanikbacteria bacterium CG1_02_41_34
Lineage: Bacteria; Candidatus Magasanikiibacteriota
Also listed under: 4 other names
Description: tRNA-Thr
Rfam family: tRNA
About the family: Transfer RNA (tRNA) molecules are approximately 80 nucleotides in length. Their secondary structure includes four short double-helical elements and three loops (D, anti-codon, and T loops).
Source: RNAcentral